AGAGUUUGAUCCUGGCUCAGGACGAACGCUGGCGGCGUGCCUAAUACAUGCAAGUCGAGCGGAUCUUCUCCUUCGGGGGAAGGUUAGCGGCGGACGGGUGAGUAACACGUAGGCAACCUGCCCACAAGACUGGGAUAACAUUCGGAAACGGAUGCUAAGACCGGAUACGCAACUUGGUCGCAUGACUGGGUUGGGAAACA
Molecule: ribosomal RNA, 200 nt
Filed under: uncultured bacterium
Lineage: Bacteria
Description: partial 16S ribosomal RNA
Rfam family: Bacterial small subunit ribosomal RNA
Source: RNAcentral